Molecule: ribosomal RNA, 440 nt
Filed under: uncultured bacterium
Lineage: Bacteria
Description: partial 16S ribosomal RNA
Rfam family: Bacterial small subunit ribosomal RNA
Source: RNAcentral
CCUACGGGUUGCAGCAGUGGGGGAUAUUGCACAAUGGGGGAAACCCUGAUGCAGCGACGCCGCGUGUGGGAAGACGGUCCUCUGGAUUGUAAACCACUGUCCCCAGGGACGAAGAUGACGGUACCAGGGGAGGAAGCUCCGGCUAACUACGUGCCAGCAGCAGCGGUAAGACGUAGGGAGCGAGCGUUGUCCGUAAUUAAGGGGGGAAAAGGGAGCGUAGGCGGGCUUUUAAGUCAGCGGUAAAAAUUCGGGGCUCAACCCCGUCCGGCCGUUGAAACUGGGUGCCUUGAGUGGGCGAGAAGAAGGCGGAAUGCGUGGUGUAGCGGUGAAAUGCAUAGAUAUCACGCAGAACCCCGAUUGCGAAGGCAGCCUUCCGGCGCCCUACUGACGCUGAGGCACGAAAGUGCGGGGAUCGAACAGGAUUAGAUACCCCAGUAGUC